Molecule: long non-coding RNA, 1423 nt
Filed under: Setaria italica (foxtail millet)
Lineage: Eukaryota; Viridiplantae; Streptophyta; Magnoliopsida; Poales; Poaceae
Description: long non-coding RNA (SITA_LNC000036)
Source: RNAcentral
GAGCAGCUGAUGACAGACAGGAAGAUCGAGGAAGCCCCCUUAUGCCUUCCACCACGGGUCCUCGCCGGUCCUGAAGUCGGUCUCCACCCACGGGACGAAGAGGACCUUGCCGUCGUCGACGUCGGCGUGCACCAGGGCCAGCGACUGUUGUUGUUCCGAUCAGAUGAGCAAUUCAACCAAGAUCAGAUUCAGUCAGUUGAUGAAGGCAGAUCAUAUCAUUCAGCUAGAAUCAAGGAAGCAAAAUGAAUGAAAUGCAUUGCUCACCAGGGGCGCCGGGCCACGGACGACCCUGCCCUGGUUGUUGUACUGCGAGCCGUGGCAGGGGCAGAUGAACUUGUUCUCGGCGCUGUUCCACGGCACGACGCACCCCAGGUGGGUGCAGACGGCGUUGAUGCCGUAGGUGGCCAGCGUCUUGUCCUGCUCCACCACCAGGUACGUCGGGUCGCCCUUGAGCCCCUGCGCCAGCGUCCGGUCGUUGGGGCCGUGGGUCUUGAGCCACUCGUCCACCUUGAUGUCGUUGCCCAGCUUGUCCUUGGCGUACGUCCCGCCGCCGGCGCUGCCGGACCUGCAAAUUAUUACCCGUUGAGCUGCUGGCCGGCCGGUGACAGACAGGACUAGGCAGCUUACCCGGCGGGGAUGAAGAAGGCGCCGUAGGGGACGACCAUGCCGACGGUGGGCAGCGAGAUGGCGCCCAGGAGGAGGAGGUUCAUCAGCUUCCGCUUCUCCAUGUCGGGGACGCGGUCGGCGGGGAUGCUGCUCGCCGCCUGGCACGUGAUGCUCCGCCGGCCCAUCCCGAGGCCGAGGCCCUUCACCGGCUUGCCCAGCGAAGAAGCAGCGCGGGGCCGGCAGAGCUGCCAUUGCAGGCGCGCACAUCGCAUGCAAACGGAUAUAUGUGAUCCAGACUUAAACAUAGAUAACAGAUCAAUCGAGCUGCAAAUUAAAUGUAUAGCAAACCUGGAUUCUGUGGUCAACUACUCCAGAAUCCAGAUACAAAUGAGUGUCUACAACGUAUUUGAAUUGUUCGUCAAAUCGUCAGGUAAAUCCAGUGGACCACGGAUCAGAACCAGGAGUGAAAUCGAUAUAGUAGUGCUACACUGCUACUCCAUUACUUUGUAGGUAGUAUGAUCCAUGUUCUUUCAGUUCUAACUUCUACGUUGCGUUAACGAACUCAUACAGCAAAGACGAUGAACACGCCUUUCUCGGAAAAAAGUCACAGCAGUAGCCAGUAGGGGAGGGGAGAGAGGAGAAGCGAGGCGCAGAAGAAGUAGAAGAGGAAGCUGGGCGCUUACCUGGGUGGGGUUGGCGGCGGUGGAGAGCGCCGUGGAGGCCGCCAUGGCUGCAGGGAAGGGAGGAUCGGAUUGCUGGGGGAGGUGUCGAGCGAGGCUUCUGUCGCUGGCGUCCACAGGCUUGCGGAUGAGCCCCG